AAGAGGUACAGAAGAAGGUGAAGUAGCAGACCUUUGUUUAGCAAUGGGAUCCAGUCUCACUGUGACUCCAGUGGCCGACAUACCUGAGUGUGUCGCUGAGAGAGGAGAGAAACUGGUUAUAGUGAACCUGCAAAAGACACCAUUGCACAGUAUUGCUGCACUAUGCAUUCAUGCUAAAUGUGAGGAAGUGUCCACAAUGGUAAUGGAGAAGCUUGGACUGCCCAUACCUGAGUUUAGAUUGAAGAGAAGAGUAUUCAUUAAAGUGACACAAAGUACUAAAGGACCUCCUGAAGAUCAGGUUUCUUUAUCAAUAGAAGGACAGCCUGGACAGAACAUGUAUGGAUUCUAUUUCUCAUUCCUAACUGGAGUUACAUGUGUUUGUGGGUGAAAGACCUCAACAGUUGCAAGAGCCUUUCUUUAUCAGGUUUCCAUGGAGAGCAUCAGCUGGUGCCUCAUCAGAUGAAAUGAAGGCUCAACCGAUGUUUCAUUUUCAAGGACAUUAUGGUGAACCACCACUUGAUAAAGAACUGAUUAUUAAAAAGGGAGUGAAAGAUAUGCAGCUCAAACUAUUAUUGAUUUAUAAUCCAGGAACAAGUGACUGGAGUAUAGAAGAUGAUGCUGCUGCUGUUGUAGUUCCAACUGCAGGCAUAAAGAAAAUAACGCUCAAGGAAUCAUAAAAAUUUUAUGUUUAAAGAAUGACAAAGAUAAAUGCCAAUCAUUGUUAUUAAAAGAAUAUUAUAACUUUAAACUA
This is an RNA transcript of Amphimedon queenslandica, 751 nucleotides long. It is a transcript of the gene named NAD-dependent protein deacetylase SRT1-like, with no coding region annotated. The transcript has 4 exons. Lineage: Eukaryota; Metazoa; Porifera; Demospongiae; Haplosclerida; Niphatidae. The record is from RefSeq and is a predicted model, not a curated record.